This 11354-nucleotide long non-coding RNA is filed under the name Gallus gallus (chicken). The record is from RNAcentral. Lineage: Eukaryota; Metazoa; Chordata; Aves; Galliformes; Phasianidae.
AUGCGAUCCUGCGGGCAAUAAAUCAGACACGACAAAUGACAUGCGGUUUGCCGGAGGUUCUCCAAACAAAACACUUUCCGUUUCCCCUCUCGCCGCGGCCCCGCCACGUCUCCCCGCAGCAGCGCGCACCGGACGCGGCGCUCCGCCCGCCCGCCCGCCCCGCGGACCCCGCGCGUCCCGCGGCCUCUCCCCGCCCUCGGGGCGACUCGCGGCCCCGCUCCGGCCCGGCCGCACCUGCGCGGGGCCGCCCCGCUCCCCGCCGCCCGCUGCCCGCCCGGCGGCGCCUACCUGCGGCGGGGGGACCGGCGGCGACCGGAGCGGGGCCGGCCCCGCUCCGCCGCCCCCGCCCGGCCCCGGCGGCGCUCACCCGGCGGCGCGGACCCGCUCAGUCGCUGCCCAUCCUCCGCCGCUGCGGCUGGCACGGCGCGCCGGCACCGACGGGCGCGGGUCUGGUGCGCGUGUUGUGGCGUGCGGGAGGGCGCGGAGCGGCGGGGAUCGCGUUUCUUUCUUCCUCUCUCUCUCCCUCCCUCUCUUCCUUCCUUCCCUUCUUCCCUCCCUCCCUCUCUCUCUCCCUCCCUCCCAGCGGAGAGGAGCACAGACUCCGGCAGUUGUUUCCACUCGCCCCGCUCGGGCCGCGCUGGCUCUGCCUCCAGGCAAAACACACGCACCAAAUUGGCUGCGGCUCCGCGCCGCCGCUGGCGGCCCCGGGGGGCGGCCGGGGCGGGGCGGGGCGGGGGCGGCUGCGGAGCGAACUUCGCGCGGGGCCGACGGCUGAGCGCGGCCGCGGAACAAUGAGCCGGGCGCGGCCCUUCCCCUCCUCCUCCUCCUCCUCCUCCUCUUCCUCCUCCUCUCGGCCCCCCGCGGCGGGACGGGGCCGCGCAGGUGGCAGCGCCCCGCGGGCGGCUCCGCGGAACGCCCCGCGGCGGGAGGGGGGAACGCAGCGUCGGCAUCUGCCGCCAUCGGGCCGUGCCCGGGCAAAGAACCGCGGACGCGGGGAUGGGGAGCCCGUGGGCAGCUCCGGUAGCGCAACGCGGGCCACGCACCCCUCACACCUUCUGUUCCCAGUGGAGUGCUGGCACGAGGAACGCUGGCUGACUACGCUGGCUGAAAGCAGGGCCGAGAGAGCUGCUGAGAGCCGCCGAGCGGUCGCGUGUUUCUUGUUCCUAAGGGUUCUGCUGCCUUUAGAAGCACCCGUGGGCUCCUCUCCUCAGUCUGCGGCGAGGAGCUGCCCACAGGGAGACACUGAAACCCAGCACUCGCCGUCUAGGAAUGAGGGCUGGGGGCAGCUCGUUGCUGCGCCAGGGAGAGGUCAGGAUCCCUCCUCUCGAUGGGUUCAGCGUCCCUUUGUGGGAUUGUUUUAUGAGAACGAAAUCGGGGUCAAGAAUUUUGGCUGUGCCUUCUCUUACAUGUCUCAUCGCCAAUGGGCGCUUCUCUGCUUCAGCAGACACACGGGAGGGAAGGAAGGAAGGAAGGAAGGAAGGAAGGAAGGAAGUGUUGGGACGCCUUUUGCACAGCGCUGCUGAUUUGUCUUGAAGAAGAGGCUGCUCUGGACAGCCUGGAGAGCAGCCGGGCUGCUUCUGCUGUGCGCAGCAGGGACCGAGGCGGGGCAGCCACCUCCCGCUGACAGCUGCCUGCCGUGCGCAUUUGCCGUGCGCUCAGAUGGAACAGAAACAAGGCAUAAAGAACAGAGCUUCCCAAGGAGGAAAAAAAUAUAACGCCCAAAUCCCAAAGCGAGCUGGUAAGUUUCUGCAUGCUCUGCAAAGCCACUCGGCUACAAAAUGAGCCCCGUUUUGUAGCCAAGGAGUUGCACGUAGGCAGAACAGCAGCCUUCCAAAGGGCUCCGUGUGCCCACUGGGCUUCCAGAAGUGCCAGUAUCCGGCUGCUGUGGCCGUGUGGGGAGGUCAGAGCCGGCGUCAGGGUGAUGCUGGGCCGGAGGCUGAACUCCCUGUUCCUUUCUGAGUGCUUCACCCAAAGCGCAUGGGGAUCAGGGCUGCAAGCAGAGCUAGAGCCCAUCGUGCCCCCAUCAAACCAUCCCGUUUGGGUCACGUUAUUGUAGGCAGUGGAGGCACUCCAUUCCAUAUCCUAUUCAAUUCAGUGAGACUGUGCAGAACAGCACAUGCAUUGUUCCACUGCCAUUAACACCGCUGGAGAUAAAGGAUGAGAGAUUCACAGUGGUGCAUACAAUGCAUUCGCCACACAAAAUCACAGUGAAAGGCCAACACUUGGGCCUUUAUCCCAUUCUGGAAAGCCAUUUGGGAGCCCCGCAUGGCUGCGGCAGCACGGUGAGCUCCCGCUGCCACCACCACCGGUGCCAUUCUGUCACACCAAGGCACCACAGCAGCUCCAAGGUUGAAGUGUCCAACUUCACAGUGCACGGCUUCACAAGCACGCAACUGCACAGUGGGACUACUCCCAGUCACUGCUCUACUCCAUUCGCUGGGGUGUUCCUCUGCAGCCAUUGUGAUGUUAAUGAGAGAGCUGUAAUGAUGCCAUUCACAUAUAACAAGCCCGAUGGGAUGGUAGUGAAAAGGGCUUUUUAUGCACAUCCAGAAUGCUUCUAGGAAAAAAAAAAAACAAAACCAAAAAAACCCAACAAAUAUGAAAUGCCUGUUAGGGUGAUACUGCGGGUCUGAUGGGAUCAAGGAUGGGGAAUGGACGUGGGAUGACUGCUCCUGUCCUGAGGAGAGAGGAGAGGCUCUGACUGCAGCAGUGGAUGGGAGGAGGAUGUUGGGGGUGCGUGGCCCAGCUGGUCAGCGUGCCUUGGUGUGCCAGAAGUUCAAGGAGGAAGUCACAGGACUGGGAGAUUAAGGGGCCUGGAUUAAAAUGCUCGUUGUCCAUGUGGGUACACGUGGAGUCACAGCAGUGCUGUGAAUGAAGCUGUGGGGUCAGGGACUCACAGUGUAUCAGGGUGGCCUAACCACAGCGAGCAGAAGCAGAGAGCCAGAGGUGAUCCCUGCAUCAGGGCUCUGACUGCAAGGACCAGCACUGUGGUGGGUGGGAAAGCACCUGGAACAUCCAGCUUAUGGGUCAUGCUGGAUUUGAGCUGGCGGAACAGCAUCUGGGCACCAGCAGGGGUAGUGCCACUCCUCAGCCCCCCGAGGUACAGAUGAGCUACGGACCGGUGCCAGCCCCAGCAUUCUUCCCUGCGCUUCUUGGCCCUCACCCCAGGGCAGCUCAAGGAAUCCACUGGGUUUUAUUUUUUUCUUCAGGGGCAGGACUUACUGCUCAGUUGAAAGGGAAUUCAGUUGACAUCAGGAACAGUGCCAAGAUACGGCCUUCCCAUGAAAGUGUUUUGAAAGCGUCUUCAAUUUCUUCCAUCCCGAUUUCAAUGAUGCGAGCCCAGAUGCUCUGGUGUCUCUUUCUCAAGACGGAAUUCCAAGCAAAUAGGAACAUUCCUAACUCCCACAUGUUUUUUUCUUUUAAUUCUUAUAGGUUGAAUUCUAGGCAGCCUGAUGUAGCCGUGGUGUUCCUGUUCAUUGCAGGGGAGUUGGACUAGAUGGCCUUCAGAGGUCCCUUCCAACUCUAUGGAUUCUACGAUUCUUCCCAUACGAAUGUUUCGGAGUCUCUUGGCCCCAGUUUGUCGAGGUUCCCCAGUUUUCUUAGCAAGCACAUUUUCAGAGAAAACCUGAAAACAAAUCUUUUGACUUCUUAACAGUUGUGUUUCCUUUGUUUCUGGUUUCCAUAGGUGUACUGAUAGAAAGAGCUUUCCUUUUUUAUGAGGGCUGCUCCAAAAGUAAUGCCUUCUAUCUUAUAAUGUUGGCCCACAGUGUCAGAGGCGGAUACUGGUGGUGUGGCAGUAGAGGUUGAACCUUCCCCCCAAAUAUUCCACUCGGUUUGCAGAGCACUUCAGCAUGCUGGUGGUGAGUGUUGCUCCUGCUGCUGUAGUGACAGCCCCUCUGCUGGGUUACCUUUGGGACAGGUAGGCUCUGCACAGGGGCUGGGUGCGGUUAUGAUGCCUGGAGGUGGAGAGAAGAGGAGCUGACAGCUUCAGGCCAGGCUGAGGCAGCAGAGCUCAAUGUUAUACAUGGGGGCUUCUCCAGCCCCAGAGCAGCUUUCCUUCUUUCAGAGAGGUGUCAAAUACGGCUGCCUCCUGGCAACACAAAUUGGGUGUCUAUGGAGUUUAAUUGUAUCGUGUUCUUUACUCUCUGUCUGCUGAAGAAGGUAAACAGCACAAACAAGAAGUGUUCGGAAACAAAGAGCAAGCUGUCUGCCGCUCAGCCCGCGCUGCUUUCCAUGAAGAAUGAGUGCUAUUAUUAUUCUUUUACAAGUUUCCUUCUAAGGGAAAUAAACACCAAAGGUAGGAUUCCAAGGAAAUGACUCACAAAUAUUGGCAGUGGGCUCUGAAAAUUGGAUCCAGUCUUUGCAGAAGCCCUUAGCAGAACGCUAACCCCUCUCAUUGCAAAAUAAACUCCCAUCCAUGCCACACAGCAGCUCUGAUGUGUGUGUGAAGGGUGGAUGGGGAUGCCAGGGCCCUUUUUUUUUUUUUUUUUUUUUUUUUUUUUUUACUUUUUCCCAAUCCCCUGACAUUGCAUGGGAUGUAGCGUCCAGUAUCUGUGCUCAGCCACCAAGCUGCCCUCCCAGGUGUGCAAAGGUAACCACACACUGCGCCUCACAUUGUAGUUCUUAAUCAGGGACCCCAGGAACCAGGAAAGCAGGCACUAAAGGAUCAGACAGCUGAGCAGAGGCAGCCUGGCUGCAAUACCAUCUGCAAACAGAACCGUCUACUUAGCAUAUUUAUUUCUCAGCUGUUUAAGAUUUUGAAUCAUAAAUGCAUUCUCCGCAUCCCUUGUAAUGCACACGUUCAAAGGCUUCAGCGCUCUCUCAUGUUACUUUUGGGGUUUUGUUUGUUUGUUUUGUUUUUGGCAAUGUAAAUCUGGGUAGACGAGCAACGAAAAUUGCGUCUCUCACACGGAAUUCCUUUGCAGCUCAGUUCUGCUUAGACAGCGCCUUCAGAUUAAAGAAGAUUAAAGAUCAUUACCUUUGCAAACUCCUAUUUAAUCACUCCAAACUGAGAUGAAGCAAACGGGGACUCUGGCAUGGAGUCAGACUUUUUCAGACAGUACAGCAGCACAGCGGGACCGUGCAGAUUCCGUACUUCUCUAUGCAUUGCCACAAUUACCAUCAUCUUUCCUGCUUUGUGAUACACUUGUAGAGAUAUUAUCCCUGCAGUCUGUGGGCCAUCCACGGAGUUCACUGAGUCCCUGACUUUGGCCUCCAUCUGUCAUAAGUGUCUUUCAGGACAAGCAGGAUGAUGCACGGUGUUGGAUUGUUGUACACUGAAUCCAAUUCUGGUUCUAUCAGAAUUCAUUCUUCUUUAAACAAGGUAAUUCUUACAGUAAUGCCAUUGAUAAGGUAUAUAACAAUCACAGAAAUGAUAACACAUUAUAUAGCAGCUAAUACCAUACAACUCAAAUUAUUGACUGUUUUCACGCAGUAUCAAAAUAUUGGCAAAUAGAGGCCUGGUCAAUCCAAAGGGAAACAAACCCACAGGGAUACAGCACUGAGAAGCAUCAGUCCAACCCGGGCACAGCCAGGAGCGGGCCAAGCUCCUAUUGCAGGCCUGGGAGAGGUCUGGACAAGGCCACUGGGGAUCACUCUGAGCUGGAAGGGUCAUUGGCUGUUGAUAACUGGCUCACACAGUUCAUUAUUAAAAGCUGGGGAAACACACCCCACAUGUAUUUAAUAAAUCAGUCUCCGCAGGGUACAUCAUCUUAAAAAAGAAAUCCCAACAGCUAAAAGUCUGGAUGCUGAGGAAUAUACCAUUCGAUUACAAAGUAAAUUAUAUGAGCCUCCUGUGUGUGGUUGUGCUCUCGAAAAGCAUCAGUGGCUUCUUACAGCUCUACGGCAAUGGGAGAGCAAUUUCCUCGCUUAGGGAAGCACAGUAAAUCAGAAGUAAAAGGUUCUUAAAAAAAUAACUAGGUGGCAAUUCAUAAUCCAAGGGGAGGAAAAUGGGUUAAAAAAAGGUAGAGCACAACCAACGACUGAGAACUAAAUUGGUAGGAGAAAUGGUUCUGGGAGCCAGAGUGGGUCGCAGUAUGUCAAACUGUAGGCUGCAUUUGUUGUCUGAAAUUAUUCCAAAAGCAGAAUUAUUCCAAGAGCGAAGGAUAAAUAUCCUUGAAUAAUCCAAACCAAAAAUGAAAUAUAAAUCAGGAGUAUGACUUUGCUGGAUUCCAGGUCUGUGUCAUCUUGAAAGAAUCAACCACUUGCCCAGGUUCUGCUCCCUGUACGCAGGGAAGGCACUGGGGAAUUUCAGGAGUCAGGCUGGGCACUAAAGCUAAUUUUCUUACUCAGUUUCUAUAGUGUAUAUGCUUUUAAAUAGUUGUGUUUUUUUUCUCCCCGGGUCUGAUCCAGGCAAUACAGAACAUCUGUUUGUUUCAAAGCAUACCUGCAUGAAGGAAGUAAUCAGUAAAGCCCAAGAUGAUGUAUCUAAAUGUGAGUGCAGAUUGCAGACCUGGGUUCUGUUCCCCGGGUACCAGGCAGCAGAAGCAGGUUUACCUGUGCCGCCUGGGCAGCUCUGCACACAGGUGUGAGCACUGCAGCCCCAUCCGUGUGCCAGGAGGUACACAUCCACCAUUUUGCAAAUUAUUCUGCAAAAGAUCUGUGAGAUUAAAAAAAAAAAAAAAAAAAAAAAGGAUGAAAAACCCAACAGAUUUGAAUUCAAUGUAGUUCAGUUCAGUUCAGUUUCAUUAAGGGCUUUUCACUUGCUCAGCAGCUGUUUCUUGGCCUUCACAUGAGGGUUAAUACGUGAGGCAGCUACUCCUCCUACAGGUCAGCCACAUUGAGGUCAUGGUUGUGCAGAAAACGCUCCUGGUGUUUUGGGGGUGUGUUUUUCAGUGCCCAGCCAGGUUAUAGGCAGCCUGGUGUAUUCCUAGAGAGAAUCGAGCAUUUGCUGCUUCCCCAUUGCAGAAGAGAUGAAACCAUGAUCACAAUUGUUUGCAUUCAGUAACAAUCCCAUAAAACAUUUUAUAAGAGAUGGCUCUUUAACCUCAAGGCUUUGGCCGAAUUCCAGCUCAGAAACUAUCUUCCUACAAGUUCUCCCAUUAAACUAGAAGCGAUGUAUUUGUCUCCUCCUUUGAACUGCUCUCAGCAGUGGCCUGAGCUGCUCAGAGCUCUGUAGGCUUCAGCAUCACACCGGCUCCGCUCAGGGAUGGCCUAAGGCCAUCCAUGCACCCACUGGGCACAGGGCUACCUACCCAGGUAGUGCUUGUGAAGUGCUUCAAUACACAAUUACGAAAGGAACCAUUCGAGUGAAAAACAUAACUCCACCUUGUGUCCGGAGAAGAAACCAGGUCGGGUUAUGCACAGUGACCUGCCGAGAAAUCCAUUGACAAAGAGCAUCACCGGGGACAAGCAAAGGCUGAAGGUCUGAGUACGUACCACUGCUCUGUGUUCACAGUUUCAAGAUCCACACUCACAUGAAGACAACCUUUCCAUCUUCAGUGCAAGGCAGAAACAUUUGUCUCACGAUGGUUAUAUGGACUGUGAAUUUGUUGAAUCGUUUUACAGCUUUUGUUCUGAGUGCAGCAUUUUCCAGGGAUGUUUAAUUUGGAUUGCCCAGAAUGACAAUGAACAGUUUAAGUGUAUUCUGGUCUUCAGGCUCUCCAUCUAAUAGAUGUUAUGCGGCACGUCUACCUUUUGAGAAAGCUUUCAGCGAGACGUUAAGCAUAAUUAGAGAGGGUGGGAUGGGCGCUAAGGGAAGAACAAUUCCUUGAAAUAUUUCUGGCAGUGAAGCACUUGCCUAAGGGUGGAUCAAUCCGCUCCAUAGAAAAGCCAGAAAGGAAGCGGAGGAGCAGAUCAGCGUGCAAGACGUGUGAUGGGUGGGUUACCAGCACAUUUGCCCAGAAGUGCCUGCUUCAGACUUACCUUCAGCAAUCUCCACCUCUCAGCUUGCUGGUGCUGCCAUGUGGGUCAGACAUCAACACUCCCCUCUCACAGGGCUCUCCUGGGGCCUGGGCACAGGGAGCAGCCCCCCCUGCACAGAGCCCUCAGAGCAACCUGAACCUCCAAACACGUCCUGCUGUAGGACCACUAUUCUGGGGGCAGAAGGGGGAAAACAAUAGGGAUUUUUUUUUUGAGAUUUGGAAGAACCUCCAACUCAACACUGACAGUACAUAGUUUUAAAUGAUGGCAUCCCCAUGUAUUUUCUAAUUGAUUUUUCUGAAAGGAUGAGUUAUACCUCAACUAAGCAGCAAUUUCAAGACAACACUCUGUGAUGUUCCAAACUUAUUUGGAAUCAGUUCUGUCUGCCGCCAUGGUUUUCACUCUCAACAAGUUUGGCAAGAUUUUUUUGAAAUAAGAUGAGAAAAAAGGUUGGAUACGUUCCUUUCAGGCAAUAGCCAACAAUGUAAAAUGCCUCCAUAUCCCUAAGUUUUUUCAGGUGGUGGUUUCAGAGCCAUAUUUAGCCAAGUGCUGACCCUUCCCUGCGUUCUCACUGCCCUCCCUGGGCUGGCACCAGCACUCCUCCGUGCUCAAUCCAGUCACACAGGUAGACUGACCCCACGGAAAACUGCACUUUAAGAUCUUGAUAGGCUUAUCCCGAUCCUUCAGCGGCUCUUGCUGGUGGUGAGAAUCCCAAAGAGACCACACAACCAAGGUAUUCAGCAUUAUCUUUGGUAUCUUCAAGCAGAAAAGAAUUCUUUUGCAUAUAAUACCACAUGCUACAAUUUCUUUAGAACGCUGUAGAGACACUGCUCCGUAGUGUCUUUUAGCAGAAGCUGCACAUCCGCCCUACAGAUUAAUUUCAUUCUGUAGCAGGUCAUUCAGUGCCUGGAUUUAUCAGUGACAUGGAAGAAAACCAGAAUUUUGGUAAUGAAAAUAAGGGACAAGAAGCAUUUUGGCCCAAGAAGGGCCAAAAUAAGGGUCUCAGCUAAGGCUACAAAACCAGUCUGUAUCAAAUGAGAAAUUAAAUGCAAUUCCCACUUUCUUGCCACGUGCUUAGACCAACACACAGCAGCUCACCCUCAUGCUGUUUUAUUUAAAAAGGUGUGUUCAAGAGGCUGGAAAGAGCCUGAUUGCUAUUUCCCAACAAGUGUUGCUACUUUACAACAUAAAACCAGUUUUGUCGAUGGCAAUAGUCUGUGUCUGCUAGCAUGCCUUCUGUGUAGUUCAGUAGAGAAACCAUGUGCUUGGAAAUAAGGAAACAUAUAGAACUACCUCAUCCCGAUUGUCAGCACGGCUGUACACAGAGCAGAUGGCAAAGGCUGAAUGGUUAGUGCUGUUCCCUAGCCUGUUGGCCUGGCACGUAUGCUCCUAAGUGUUUUAGAGUCUCAGAAAGCUGCAACGAGCUGAUGUGAUGAUUUGACCCUGGGGCUUAGAUCUGGGUACAUUUUCAUGACCUCAACCUGUCUGACUGCUUUAGAGCUCUGUUGAACAGUUGAUUUUUUUUCUUUUAAUAAAUACAAGUGGUCCCCAUGCUCUGUAUCUCCUGUUUUCCUAAGAAUACCAGAUGUUUUCUGGUAAGGCAUUAAUUAGCAAAGGCUUGUGACCAACAUUUUAGUCUACUGGUACUUUAAGCCUCAGCCCAAGCAGGUGCAAAUGCUGUGACAUGAUGGAAAAUGUGUUCCUAGCUCCAAUAAUCAAACGGGAUACAAACCUCAUCUCCUUUGGCAGAUUGGUGACUGUUCCCUUUCUUAACUAUUAUACUGCUGCAACAGAACUGAUACAACAGGAUAUACUAUCUCAAGUUUUAAUUACUGAUUAUAGCAUUUCAUAUUAUUAUUUAUUGAGAUGAAUUGGCCCAGUGUUCUGGAUUCCUGCUUACAAUUAAUGUUUAAUCGUAAAGAGUGGCUACAGAGAUUGAACCAUCUUCAUUACAGCUCUGGACUUCCUCAAACAUGAAUGAAAGAUUGAGCUUCCUUAUUUUGAACUAGCAUAAUUAAAGGCAGAAUGUCUUUUUUUUUUCCUUUGCAUAAUGCAAUAAAAUAAUAUGAAAUGCAAUGGGGGGGGUUUAUUAUGCCUCUAAAAUAUACAUAUUAGUUCAACGUGAUUUUACACCAUUUGACAAGAGGAUUUUCAUUAUUAAUAAGAUGAAAUGUAAGGCUUCUAAUUAAGUGGAAAACAAACCGCUGUAAACUACACUCAGAACACACAAACCUAUUAGGUUUUGAAUUUAAUAAUAAAUCAUUUAUCUAAACCCCCAGUGAUUUGUUGCAUGAUCGUACUUGAUGAUAAUUUAUUUCAUUUGUACAUUUUUAGGCUUCCUUGCUUCCUUUUAUCCUUACUAUUCCCAACAGCAAAUCUGAGCUUUUUUUGUUUUUGUUUUUGUUUUUUUACGACCCCUAUGCUAAAAUGCAGCUACUCAAAAUGAUAAGCAGGUAACAAAACGCCUUACUAUUGCUCUCAUUGAUUUUAGAAAAGUAGGGUAAUUUACAAGUAAAACACGCAUCUAAUGUGAAUUGAACACUAAAUUAGAAUUGCACUGCUGGACUCUAAAAACAACAACACCAGAGAGAAAAUGCAGGUUACAGAUUUCAGCAGGAAAAUGAGAGACGGCCCUUACCCAGAGGAGCUUUGGGAAACAAGUAACUAGUGACUUCAAAGAGAUUCUAAAAUAAUACCUGAUGUGGAAUUUGCUGUAUGAAGACAACUAUUCAGAGAGAGCCUUUGACAAGUGAAGGUACAUCUGCAUAGAAAUGAUGCAGUUCGGCUCUGAAACAUGUGCUCCUGCACAACAAGCUAUUUAGGAACCAUGAGCAUUAACCUAAUUCUGUUCAGCUACCUGUGUGGAACACGAGUGACCGAAAGGUGCCACCCAUCGAGCUCAAGUUGGAUUCAGUACAUAGUGUGUAUUAACUCUUUCAGGCUGUGAUUUUUGUAUAGAACAUCGCUGUUCAGAAAUGAACAACUAUUACCAUAUUGACUACAUAUUUCUUUCAUUUCUUCCAUGUUUUCACAGCUUCAUAAAUCCUCAGUUUUUAAAGAAAUAUCUGAUAGCUCACAUGAAUCAUGCUUUAGUAGGUCUUGUACCAUUUUUUUCCCAUAUUGACGAGAUUAUCAAAUACCUAUAACAUUGACUAAAGAAUAUAGACACACAUUAAGUCCUCCUAAAGUUUAACUAGCAAAUAUGUACCAGUCGCCAUAUGGAAUGGCAAGUAUAUUGCCCUUUGAAAAUGCCAGCCUUAAAACUAGCAAGUGCCACAUUAUCCAGUUUGUAGAAGUCCUAGGAUGUGCACAGAUGACAGGGGUGGGUCCAGAUGAUUCACUGGGCUAUGCUCCUUUCACGUGCAGAAAUGGGAAGAAACAAUAGAAACUCUUUACCCCAAGUCUUCCUAGUUUUAGGAUAGGGAUGUCUGCUAAUACAUAGAAAUAUCUAUCUAUCUAUACGUAUCCAGGAACACUGUAAAGCAGAAUUGCCA